This 840-nucleotide ribosomal RNA is filed under the name Triticum aestivum (bread wheat). Its description in RNAcentral is "partial small subunit ribosomal RNA". Lineage: Eukaryota; Viridiplantae; Streptophyta; Magnoliopsida; Poales; Poaceae. The record is from RNAcentral.
AUGGGGAUCCUACAGUGCACCCGUCCUGUGUCUGCGGCGACACCGGCAGCGGCUAUCACCACCUCCGUGCCAGGUACCGGCUCCACGCCCCCAGCGCUGCCGCCGCCUCUCGCCACCGAUGCGCUCGCUGCGGCUGCCCUUGCCUCCCGCAAGGCCGCCCUAACCGUCGGUGGCCAUUUCUCCCAAGCUGGCCACCUCCCCGUCCUGCAGAAAUCCUCAUCUGAUGCUCGGCCCGAUUUGGAUCAGGAGCAAGCUACGCUGGGCCGGCUCGUCCUAAUUGGCGCUGUUUCCAUGAAGGUGCCACCAGGAAAGUCUGCUGCUCCGGCUCUGCCGACCGCUUCUGUCACGGCAUCGCAUGGUCUUGACUGCAAUAAUGUGAGCUCCGAUGAGGAUGUAGUUGUGGAGAUGGCGUUGCAGACGUCGCUGGCCUCGGCCAGUGCAGACCAGCUGACCCGCCGGCCGCAUUCUGUGUUGUGGGCUUCCGUUGCUGAUGAAGACGGCGACGAGGAUGACAGUGAGGAUCUGGCCCCCAGGACUCCACCGGCUGCUGCCAAGGCCAUCGACUCCGACUCCUCCAAUGUGUGCAUGGGGCACGGGCCGAACACAAGAGGGGGUUGGCAAGAGGUGCUGCUGCGGCGAGGUCCGCGGCACCCGUCAUCACCGGCCCUGACUUUGGCUGCUCGCCCAUUCCUGCUUGGCUGUAUGGCAGAUGCUGCAAAUGCCUUGCUCCUGGGCACCAUGCAGUUGUUUGCAGAGAUCCACUUCGGUGCUCCCGAUGUUUGCAGAAUGGUCACCUUGCGCGCGAGUGCCACAACACCUGGCGUCCUCUCAGCUCGCUAG